CCCUUAGAUGUCCGGGGCUGCCCGCGCGCUACACUGUAGAAAGCAGCGUGCUUUAAAACCUUUCCUGAAAAGGAUGGGUAACCCCAGCAAAAUUCUACGUGCUUGGGAUAGAGAUUUGCAAUUUUCUCUCUUGAACGAGGAAUUCCCAGUAAGUGCGAGUCAUCAGCUCGCGUUGAUUACGUCCCUGCCCUUUGUACACACCGCCCGUCGCUACUACCGAUUGGGAAAAUUUUAGAGAGUCCUGGACUGAUGAUUGUUCGGCUUCACGGCCUUACUUUCGUCGGGAAAGAAUUCGAUAAUAUUUUUCUAGAGGAAGUAAAAGUCGUAACA
Molecule: ribosomal RNA, 330 nt
Filed under: uncultured eukaryote
Lineage: Eukaryota
Description: partial 18S ribosomal RNA
Rfam family: Eukaryotic small subunit ribosomal RNA
Source: RNAcentral